Molecule: ribosomal RNA, 896 nt
Filed under: Escherichia coli
Lineage: Bacteria; Pseudomonadati; Pseudomonadota; Gammaproteobacteria; Enterobacterales; Enterobacteriaceae
Description: partial 23S ribosomal RNA
Rfam family: Bacterial large subunit ribosomal RNA
Source: RNAcentral
CUCGCUGUGAAGAUGCAGUGUACCCGCGGCAAGACGGAAAGACCCCGUGAACCUUUACUAUAGCUUGACACUGAACAUUGAGCCUUGAUGUGUAGGAUAGGUGGGAGGCUUUGAAGUGUGGACGCCAGUCUGCAUGGAGCCGACCUUGAAAUACCACCCUUUAAUGUUUGAUGUUCUAACGUUGGCCCGUAAUCCGGGUUGCGGACAGUGUCUGGUGGGUAGUUUGACUGGGGCGGUCUCCUCCUAAAGAGUAACGGAGGAGCACGAAGGUUGGCUAAUCCUGGUCGGACAUCAGGAGGUUAGUGCAAUGGCAUAAGCCAGCUUGACUGCGAGCGUGACGGCGCGAGCAGGUGCGAAAGCAGGUCAUAGUGAUCCGGUGGUUCUGAAUGGAAGGGCCAUCGCUCAACGGAUAAAAGGUACUCCGGGGAUAACAGGCUGAUACCGCCCAAGAGUUCAUAUCGACGGCGGUGUUUGGCACCUCGAUGUCGGCUCAUCACAUCCUGGGGCUGAAGUAGGUCCCAAGGGUAUGGCUGUUCGCCAUUUAAAGUGGUACGCGAGCUGGGUUUAGAACGUCGUGAGACAGUUCGGUCCCUAUCUGCCGUGGGCGCUGGAGAACUGAGGGGGGCUGCUCCUAGUACGAGAGGACCGGAGUGGACGCAUCACUGGUGUUCGGGUUGUCAUGCCAAUGGCACUGCCCGGUAGCUAAAUGCGGAAGAGAUAAGUGCUGAAAGCAUCUAAGCACGAAACUUGCCCCGAGAUGAGUUCUCCCUGACUCCUUGAGGGUCCUGAAGGAACGUUGAAGACGACGACGUUGAUAGGCCGGGUGUGUAAGCGCAGCGAUGCGUUGAGCUAACCGGUACUAAUGAACCGUGAGGCUUAACCUUACAACGCCGAAG